AAACCUCAACCUCCUUGGUUUCUUCUGGAGAUCAAAGCAGGCUUGGACUUUGGAGGGCUUUGCUGGCGCCUCUCUUUUUGGAAGGCCAGCUCCUCUUAAACAAAUUAGCAGGGUCCUCUUUGCCGAACCUCGACGUGUGAUAAGAUGUUUCCAUGUCUUGGUUUCUGGCUCUGUCAGUUUUUGGGACCUGCUUCUAAUCGUCUGGACCCUUGCGUCGAGACAUCGUUCGAGCAUGUGCCUCCCUUCUCGGGAAGCUCCCUCGACCCCAUGACC
Molecule: unclassified non-coding RNA, 273 nt
Filed under: uncultured Lactarius
Lineage: Eukaryota; Fungi; Basidiomycota; Agaricomycetes; Russulales; Russulaceae
Description: sequence contains ITS2
Source: RNAcentral